CACUCCUCCCUCUCCCUGUCCGACCCCUACCCUCUGCAAGAAGUCUCUACAGGUUUCUAAGCCGCUCCGCACACCUGAGACCAAGCAGAUUGCUGCAACCAAACGAACUCCGUUGCUCCCAGCAGUGAAUCCCAGAGACAUGAAAACUGAGCCUAAGCAACCAUUUCCCCGAGAUCACACAGUUGGUCUAAGUUGUGGUUUGACCUCUGAGAAUCUCUGUCCAG
This is a long non-coding RNA of Prionailurus viverrinus (fishing cat), 224 nucleotides long. RefSeq lists it as uncharacterized. The transcript has 3 exons. The record is from RefSeq and is a predicted model, not a curated record. Lineage: Eukaryota; Metazoa; Chordata; Mammalia; Carnivora; Felidae.